This 183-nucleotide microRNA precursor is filed under the name Oryza brachyantha (malo sina). RNAcentral describes it as "MIR812 microRNA precursor family". It matches the Rfam family "MIR812 microRNA precursor family". Lineage: Eukaryota; Viridiplantae; Streptophyta; Magnoliopsida; Poales; Poaceae. The record is from Rfam by way of RNAcentral.
UAUAAGCAGUUGCAACUGUGAAACGAUGGAGCCCUUCGUCUUAUUUGAAUUUUUUUUGCAGUUAAUAUUUUUAUUCUUACUAGAUGAUAAAACAUGAAUAGUACUUUAUGCGUAACUAAUUUUUUUAAAUUUUUGUAUAUAUUUUUCAAAUAAGACGAAUGAUCAAACGUUGGAUACGGAAAA